UGCCACCGCCGCGGUAAUACGGAGGGGGCAAGCGUUGUUCGGAAUUACUGGGCGUAAAGGGCGCGUAGGCGGUUUUGUAAGUCGGAUGUGAAAUCCCAGAGCUCAACUCUGGAACUGCAUUCGAAACUAUGAGACUAGAGUCUGGCAGAGGGUGGUGGAAUUCCCCGUGUAGAGGUGAAAUUCGUAGAUAUGGGGAGGAACACCGGAGGCGAAGGCGGCCACCUGGACCGGUACUGAAGCUGAGUCGCUAAAGCGUGGGGAGAAAACAGGAUUAGAUA
This 278-nucleotide ribosomal RNA is filed under the name uncultured bacterium. RNAcentral's name for it is "partial 16S ribosomal RNA". It matches the Rfam family "Bacterial small subunit ribosomal RNA", at positions 506 to 784 of the family's 1533-position model. The record is from RNAcentral.